RNAcentral lists this ribosomal RNA (494 nucleotides) under uncultured bacterium. Its description in RNAcentral is "partial 16S ribosomal RNA". It matches the Rfam family "Bacterial small subunit ribosomal RNA", at positions 28 to 507 of the family's 1533-position model. The record is from RNAcentral.
GACGAACGCUGGCGGCGUGCUUAACACAUGCAAGUCGAACGGUGAAGCGCCUUCCUUUUUGGUGGGUGUGGAUGAGUGGCGAACGGGUGAGUAACACGUUAGUAACCUGCCCCCUUCUUCUGGAUAACCGCAUGAAAGUGUGGCUAAUACGGGAUAUUCUGGGUCUGUCGCAUGAUGGGUCUGGGAAAGAUAUUGUUUCGGUGGGGGAUGGGCUCGCGGCCUAUCAGCUUGUUGGUGGGGUGAUGGCCUACCAAGGCGGUGACGGGUAGCCGGCCUGAGAGGGUGGACGGUCACACUGGGAAUGAGACACGGCCCAGACUCCUACGGGAGGCAGCAGUGGGGAAUAUUGCACAAUGGGCGCAAGCCUGAUGCAGCGACGCCGCGUGAGGGAUGGAGGCCUUCGGGUUGUGAACCUCUUUCGCCAGUGAAGCAGGCCUGCCUCGUUUGUGGGUGGGUUGACGGUAGCUGGAUAAGAAGCGCCGGCUAACUACGUG